AACGAACGCUGGCGGCAGGCUUAACACAUGCAAGUCGAGCGCCCCGCAAGGGGAGCGGCAGACGGGUGAGUAACGCGUGGGAACGUACCUUUUGAUUCGGAACAACUCCGGGAAACUGGAGCUAAUACCGGAUAAGCCCUAACGGGGAAAGAUUUAUCGCCGAAAGAUCGGCCCGCGUCUGAUUAGCUAGUUGGUGAGGUAACGGCUCACCAAGGCGACGAUCAGUAGCUGGUCUGAGAGGAUGAUCAGCCACACUGGGACUGAGACACGGCCCAGACUCCUACGGGAGGCAGCAGUGGGGAAUAUUGGACAAUGGGCGCAAGCCUGAUCCAGCCAUGCCGAGUGAGUGAUGAAGGCCUUAGGGUUGUAAAGCUCUUUUGUCCGGGAAGAUAAUGACUGUACCGGAAGAAUAAGCCCCGGCUAACUUCGUG
RNAcentral lists this ribosomal RNA (431 nucleotides) under uncultured bacterium. Its description in RNAcentral is "partial 16S ribosomal RNA". It matches the Rfam family "Bacterial small subunit ribosomal RNA", at positions 29 to 507 of the family's 1533-position model. The record is from RNAcentral.